GAUGAACGCUGGCGGCGUGCCUAAUACAUGCAAGUCGAACGAGUUCUGAUUAUUGAAAGGUGCUUGCAUCUUGAUUUAAUUUUGAACGAGUGGCGGACGGGUGAGUAACACGUGGGUAACCUGCCCUUAAGUGGGGGAUAACAUUUGGAAACAGAUGCUAAUACCGCAUAAAUCCAAAAACCGCAUGGUUCUUGGCUGAAAGAUGGCGUAAGCUAUCGCUUUUGGAUGGACCCGCGGCGUAUUAGCUAGUUGGUGAGGUAACGGCUCACCAAGGCAAUGAUACGUAGCCGAACUGAGAGGUUGAUCGGCCACAUUGGGACUGAGACACGGCCCAAACUCCUACGGGAGGCAGCAGUAGGGAAUCUUCCACAAUGGACGCAAGUCUGAUGGAGCAACGCCGCGUGAGUGAAGAAGGCUUUCGGGUCGUAAAACUCUGUUGUUGGAGAAGAAUGGUCGGCAGAGUAACUGUUGUCGGCGUGACGGUAUCCAACCAGAAAGCCACGGCUAACUACGUGCCAGCAGCCGCGGUAAUACGUAGGUGGCAAGCGUUAUCCGGAUUUAUUGGGCGUAAAGCGAGCGCAGGCGGUUUUUUAAGUCUGAUGUGAAAGCCCUCGGCUUAACCGAGGAAGUGCAUCGGAAACUGGGAAACUUGAGUGCAAAAGAGGACAGUGGAACUCCAUGUGUAGCGGUGAAAUGCGUAGAUAUAUGGAAGAACACCAGUGGCGAAGGCGGCUGUCUGGUCUGUAACUGACGCUGAGGCUCGAAAGCAUGGGUAGCGAACAGG
Molecule: ribosomal RNA, 784 nt
Filed under: Lacticaseibacillus zeae
Lineage: Bacteria; Bacillati; Bacillota; Bacilli; Lactobacillales; Lactobacillaceae
Description: bacterial SSU rRNA
Rfam family: Bacterial small subunit ribosomal RNA
Source: RNAcentral